This 1161-nucleotide long non-coding RNA is filed under the name Numida meleagris (helmeted guineafowl). Its description in RNAcentral is "lncRNA (ENSNMEG00000010089.1)". The record is from RNAcentral. Lineage: Eukaryota; Metazoa; Chordata; Aves; Galliformes; Numididae.
GAGAGAGUCAACGAGAGUCCGAAAAUCCAGCAUCCAGCAGAGCCAGGUCUCCGCCUGCCUCCUCCUUCUAGCGCCCCCUCUCCUCUCCUCUCCUCUCCUCUCCUCUCCUCUCNCUCCUCUCCUCUCCUCUCCUCUCCUCUCCUCUCCUCUCUCCUCCGCUCCGCUCUUUUUUUCUCCUUCUUCCUGCGGCUGCUGCUGCUGCUGCUCCCGGGCGCGCUCUCUGUUCCUGAGCCGCUGCUCCGUUUCCCCUCCUCCUCCUUCUUCUCCUCCUCCUCCUCCUCCUCCUUCUUCUCCUCCCCCCCCUCCCUCUCCUUCUUCCUUCCCCCUUCGCCUUUUUUCUUUCUUUCUUCCUUCUCUCUUUCAGCAGAUUAUUUGGCUACAGAUAGCAGCGAGGUCGCCCACCCAGGCUCCAACUCUACCGCCCCUCCUCCUGGAGAGAAAGAAAAAAAAGAAAAAAAAAGAAAGUGCGGUGCAAACAAAAGCGAGGGGGGAUGGUUCGCGGCGGACAAAAAUCCUGAGGAAGCUUCCUCGAGAGCCCCGGCACCGGCAGCCCUUCCCUGCCCGUCCGCUCCUCCGAGGGAGCACGAGGGCAACGGGGCGAGCGGUGCAGCGAACGCGCUGCUGGAGAUGGCACUCUCUUCCUCCCUCUGUUUUAUGCACGGUUUGUUGGUGGUGGUUGGUUGCUGUUUGUUUUUAAUCCUCUUAGGAUAUGUGGACAGCAGGAUGCGUACGGCCUCGAGUGUUGGGAAAAGCUUGUUGCCGAGGGAGAGUGAGGGAGUGAGCGAGGGAGCGAGCGAGGGAGCGAGCGAUGCAAAGAGCUCUGUAUGGAUGGAGCAGCAGCAGCCAGAGCCCAGCCCGGCCUGCCCCGCCGGCAGGAGGGGUACGAGCACCCCGCGCCGAACCCACCCAGACACAGACACACACACAGACACACACACAGACACACACACAGACACACACACAGACACACACAGACACACACAGACACACACAGACACACACAGACACACACACCACGCUCGCACACGCGGGGGGAGGCGGGGAGGGAGGGUGACGUCACUCCGCUCCGGCCCGGGGCGCAUCCCGGCGGGCAGCGGGCGGGGCAGGGCCGGGCCGCGCUGCUCCUGGCUGCCGAGGCCCGCCGGCUUCGGCAAGUCGUGA